ACUUCUUACUGACUUACUCCU
Molecule: non-coding RNA, 21 nt
Filed under: Mus musculus (house mouse)
Lineage: Eukaryota; Metazoa; Chordata; Mammalia; Rodentia; Muridae
Source: RNAcentral